CCUACGGGUGGCUGCAGUGGGGAAUAUUGCACAAUGGGGGAAACCCUGAUGCAGCGACGCCGCGUGAAGGAAGAAGUAUUUCGGUAUGUAAACUUCUAUCAGCAGGGAAGAAAAUGACGGCACCUGACUAAGAAGCCCCGGCUAACUACGUGCCAGCAGCCGCGGUAAUACGUAGGGGGCAAGCGUUAUCCGGAUUUACUGGGUGUAAAGGGAGCGUAGGCGGCGAUGAAAGUCAGAAGUGAAAGCCCGGGGCUCAACUCCGGGACUGCUUUUGAAACUGUGUUGCUAGAUUGCAGGAGAGGUAAGUGGAAUUCCUAGUGUAGCGGUGAAAUGCGUAGAUAUUAGGAGGAACACCAGUGGCGAAGGCGGCUUAUUGGACUGUAAAUGACGCUGAGGCUCGAAAGCGUGGGGAGCAAACAGGAUUAGAUACCCUAGUAGUC
RNAcentral lists this ribosomal RNA (440 nucleotides) under uncultured bacterium. RNAcentral's name for it is "partial 16S ribosomal RNA". It matches the Rfam family "Bacterial small subunit ribosomal RNA", at positions 338 to 795 of the family's 1533-position model. The record is from RNAcentral.